AACGAACGCUGGCGGCGCGCCUAACACAUGCAAGUCGAACGAGAAGGCGUAGCAAUACGCUUGUACAGUGGCGAACGGGUGAGGAACACGUGGGUAACCUACCCUCGAGUGGGGAAUAACCAACCGAAAGGUUGGCUAAUGCCGCGUAAGCUUCCAUCUCUUCGGAGGUGGAAGGAAAGCUGUACCGUGGGUACAGCGCUCAAGGAUGGGCUCACGUCCUAUCAGCUUGUUGGUAGGGUAACGGCCUACCAAGGCAACGACGGGUAGCUGGUCUGAGAGGACGAUCAGCCACACUGGCACUGCGACACGGGCCAGACUCCUACGGGAGGCAGCAGUGAGGAAUAUUGCGCAAUGGGCGAAAGCCUGACGCAGCGACGCCGCGUGGGGGAU
RNAcentral lists this ribosomal RNA (390 nucleotides) under uncultured bacterium. RNAcentral's name for it is "bacterial SSU rRNA". It matches the Rfam family "Bacterial small subunit ribosomal RNA", at positions 29 to 409 of the family's 1533-position model. The record is from RNAcentral.